CGGUUGUUUAGCUGGUUGGAAUUCCGCCCUGUCACGGCGGUGGUCGUGGGUUCGAGCCCCGAUCCUA
Molecule: transfer RNA, 67 nt
Filed under: Campylobacter jejuni
Lineage: Bacteria; Pseudomonadati; Campylobacterota; Epsilonproteobacteria; Campylobacterales; Campylobacteraceae
Description: tRNA-Asp
Source: RNAcentral